Molecule: long non-coding RNA, 619 nt
Organism: Stegodyphus dumicola
Lineage: Eukaryota; Metazoa; Arthropoda; Arachnida; Araneae; Eresidae
Source: RefSeq, a predicted model, not a curated record
UCAGGUAGUAUGGUAGUAGUUAUACUGCUUAAUGGGCCUUAUUUAGGCCUUGUUUUAGAUCUCAAUGUUUCUGUAAUUAAAUAGCUCCACUAAGCCCUGUUAAGCCUCUAAUGGCGGUAUAAGAAUUUCGAUCAGUAAUAUUGGCUGCAAAUACAAUUCCAGGAGGAAAUAACAGUUGAUAAAAUCGCAAAUGCUUUUUAAUUCUAGCAUAAAGUGUUUCAGUGUCAUUUUUUAUAUAUUACAGAUUUGCGACCAUCAACAUCAAAGUAUAUAAAAUAUCUUGAAGAUCAGUGCAGUUAUGACAGACCGCCUGAAUGGGCAUUCUCUAUAAAAGUCACUUGAUCAUCGUAGAUGUCACCAUCUUUGAGAUAGUGAUAUCUAUUUUUAGACUGUGAAAGAAGUUUGAACUGAGGAAUAGAGAUGCAGAAAUGGUUCCUAUUUUAUGACAGUGACAUUUCAAAAUCCAGAAAUGGAAGAAUGUAUACUUGAUGUCAGGAAUCAUUCCAUGCAUAAGAAUUCACUCCUGUCUUAAAUUGAAUAUGUAAUUAACUGUAAUUAAUGAAACAUAAUAAUUUUGUUAUUAUAGAAAAAUAAAUAUAUUUUUAUUUAUUAAAUAAAA